Molecule: long non-coding RNA, 1118 nt
Filed under: Homo sapiens (human)
Lineage: Eukaryota; Metazoa; Chordata; Mammalia; Primates; Hominidae
Description: HSALNT0364456
Source: RNAcentral
CUCUUUCUCCUCCCUGCCUAACUGGUGAGGUGGGACUUCAAUGCCUUUUAGGUUUACAGUCUUUUCCUCCCCACGGCUUCUCUUUCCUCCCCGUCUCAGGCACUGGGCAUUUCCAGUCGAUCCAGCAGGUCUGGCUUCUCUCACAUAUGCAGUAAGGGUUAGGGGAGAAGGUCCCAGCUCCUCUUGUCUCUAGCAGAGUGUAAACUGGCUCUGCUGAGGAGGUGGCUGUGCUUUUAUUCCUUCUCCUGAGAACUGUUUAUAUAUUAAGGAGCUUCACAGCCUCCAACAUAAGGAAAGCAGGCCUCAAACUUCUUCAUGGGAAAAGAUGGCUUCUCUUUUUUAAUUGAAUGAACUAGAAGAAGUUCAUUGUUAUUCAUCAACUUCAAAGAGACUAUAUGAGGCCCCUUGGCCAGGACUACAGAGCAGUAUUUUUUAAUCAGAAAUUAUAGCCAAAAAGAAGAGACCAGAACACAUGGUCUUUGGUUUUUGUUAUAGCAGCCUGCAUGGACUAAGACAAGCUCAUUUUCUGGAAAGUCUUGAACUAAGUACUUGAAAAUACAAAGAUAAAUGAAGCACAAGUGCUGACUUCAAGGAAAUGCCAGAAUUGAAAGAAACUACUUUAAAUUUCAUAUGGAACCAAAAAAAGCCCAUAUAGCCAAGAUGAUCCUAAGCAAAAAGAGCAAAGCUGGAGGCAUCAUGCUACCUGGCUUCAAACUAUACUACAAGGCUACAGUAACAAAAACAGCAUGGCACUGGUACUAAAACAGAUAUAUAGACCAAUGGAACAGAACAGAGGCCUCAGAAAUAACGCCACACAUCUACAACCAUCUGAUCUUUGACAAACCUGACAAAAACAAGCAAUGAGGAAAGGAUUCCCUAUUUAAUAAAUGGCGUUGGGAAAACUGGCUAGCCAUAUGCAGAAAACUGAAACUGGACCCCUUCCUGAUACCUUAAACAAAAAUUAAUUCAAGGUAGAUUAAGGACUUAAACAUAAGACCUAAAACCAUAAAAACCCUAGAAGAAAAGCUAGGCAAUACCAUUCAGGACACAGGCAUGGGCAAAGACUUCAUGACUAAAACACCAAAAGCAAUGGCAACAAAAGCCAAAAUAGACAAAUG